Non-coding RNA from Benincasa hispida (wax gourd), 1404 nucleotides. NCBI's taxonomy places the organism in Eukaryota, Viridiplantae, Streptophyta, Magnoliopsida, Cucurbitales, Cucurbitaceae. The record is from RefSeq and is a predicted model, not a curated record.
CAAAAAAUGAAAAAUGUGCCCACCUUACGCAACCCUUUGCUCGAAUCCCUUCUCCACAUUUUCAGCGAUCUCCCCUAUGAACAUUUCCAAACCCUACAGUUGACCUCUUCAAUUCCCUCGUAGCUUCUCUAGAUCCCUCCCCCAGUUCCAUUUCGAAAUUAAUCUCUUCUGAUUUACAGAUUCAGAGUAAUAGCCCUAAUUUCAACGGACCAAUCCGGUCCGCAUUUCGAUCAGCAUCUCGAAUCAGAGUAAUAGCCCUGAUUUACAGAUCCGGUCCUUGUACGACUCUGAAAUUGAGAAACCCUAGCUUCGUCUCCAUCUCGAAUUUCGAUCAGCAUUAGAUAUCUAGAUUCUCUUCAACCUUUGAGAAAGAGAACGAGCAGAAACCAUUUGAUUUCAAGCACCAACACAUUAAGGGUCGACUGUAGAGAGAGACUUAUCGGCGCUGGCUAAUGAAAACAAAAAGGUGGUUGAAGGGCUUCACCGAUUACUGAAGUUUCGAUUCAGAGCUUUGUGGCAUUUGGGUUUCCUUUCUCGUUGGCGUUCAUUCUGCGACAAUCUCUGAAGCCGAUGAUGUUUUUCAAGAAAAUGGAGGAACAAGGUUGGUUACAGAUUCUAACGCCGAGUCUUCAGAUUGGCCAAAUGCUUGGAAACGGGUAAAAAUGUGACUAUAAAGAAGGUUUUGUAGGACAAAAGAUAGAAGAACCGUGAGCUCCAGUUAAUACAUGUGAAGGAUCAUCCAAAUGUCAUUUCCUUAAAGCAUUGUUUCUUUUCCACUACUACAAAAGACAAACUAUUUCUCAACUUGGUAAUGGAAUGUGUCCCUGAAACCAUGUUUCGGUUUUGAAGCAUUACAGUAAUGAAAAUCAAAGAAUGCCAAUCAUCUAUGUCAAAUUAUACAUGUACCAGGUUCUUAGGGGCCUGGCCUAUAUCCACACGGUUCCUGGAGUUUGUCACCGAGAUUUGAAGCCACAAAAUAUUUUGGUGGAUCCCCUUACUCACCAAGUAAAAUUAUGUGACUUUGGAAGUGCAAAAAUGCUUUUUUGGCAUAUUAUUUCAUUGAUGUAGUUACUCAAAGCGGCAAGUUCAAGGUGGGCUACAUUAUUCUUGUGGAGGCAGGAGCAUAGUGAGCGAGAUUUGGUUCGAAUUGCUUCAUACGGGAUUUGUAGGUGUAAUUUUUUUAAUUGUUCAUAGAGGGGAGGAGGGUUGAUUGUACAAUAGAAAAUGUGUUCAUAUGGGGGUUGAUAGUUGUUAUACUUUUGAAAUUGUUCAUAUGGGAUUGACUAUAAUAUUGAAAUUGUUCGUAUAGGGUUUUCCAUAUUCUUUUAACUUAGAAAUACUUUGAGGUUGUAAUAUUGACAAUGUUAAAGAAGUGAAGUUCUUAUAAAGAGAUAUUGGUGGAAA